Cyprinus carpio carpio is the source of this 1216-nucleotide long non-coding RNA. The record is from Ensembl. Lineage: Eukaryota; Metazoa; Chordata; Actinopteri; Cypriniformes; Cyprinidae.
GUUCCGCUGUUGUUCCACACGAAACGGAAGUGGCUGGUGUGGCGUGGAUGUUGUGAUUUACGGGCUGCAACGGAGAAUCCAAGGAAAGGGGAGAUUGGAAGUGCGGAGGAAGUUAAGUGAUCAACCUUUUGUAUGUUGUGUUUACAUCUUAUUGUGGAUUGAGUUGAAGGAGCGAUCCUAUGUUUGGAAGGUCCCUGAGUGAAGGAGAUCAUUGAAUUCGUAUUGGGAGAGGACAACACUGUGUACUGUGUUGAUAGUAGUGCCUUGCGUUGGAGAUCGCUGGGAAAGACGGAGAGACUCCGGUGUACGAUAUAUACGCCUGCUGUGGUCUGCCCCCUGCCUUCGUCCAUCUGACACGCCCCGCCAGGACUCUGAGCCCGAAACGGGAAUACACCACGGAUCUUCUUUCACUGAGUGUGUGGAGUGCGGUGAGUGCUGCUAUAUUGAAGUGUACACACGAGAAGAAUUGUAGUGCCUUUGUGGUGUGUGGUGUUUGUCCGUGGUUGUGUCCCCGGUCGUAGGAAGAGGACUGACAGAGAGGAGCAGUGUAUUGGUGGCAACCACAGUCUUUACCUUAAGUAAGCUGGAGCUUGGACGUGUUGGAGGCGCCUCUGGAGGAGGUUGGAUGACGUCGCCCACACAGCGAUCUCUCGAAGGACAACAGCCGAUCCUCCCCCGUGUGCCCCCUUGCCAAGCUGGGCGGGAAGCCCAGUAUUGUCUGCAGUCUCACCUGUAAGGCCCACCAGCCGUCAGUCAUCGACCAAACCCGUAUCUGCUUGGAAUACCGACCUCUGAAUAUCUUCAGUGAACCCCUGCACGCUAACAGCCCAGCCCUGUGAAUACUCACCUGUGUAUUGAAUUCUGUUCUUACCUGUGAGCUAGAACCCCUGCACACUAACAGCCCAGCCCUGUGAAUACCCACCUGUGUAUUGAACACUGUACUUACCUGGGAGCUAGAACCCCUGCAUGCUAACAGCUCAGCCUUGGGUCUUGAAGUCCACCCCCCCCCCCCCCACCCCCCAGAGCCAGAAAGUCCCUGCACGUCAACUGCCUAGCUCUUGCUUUAAACUUACCUGGAGUGGAGUCAGCUGGAAAUUAAGGGCUGAAGUGGAGUGUGUCGAGGAAGGGCUGAAGAGGAGUGUUAUCGAGGACUGGAAUCCGUAUCUGUGGACAAAAAUAGUUCGAGUCAUUAGUAGUUUUAAAGUUUCCCCUCCCC